GCCGGCUCCCCUGCCCGGCACCGAGAUGCACAGUGCAGCAAGGGCUGCCGGAGGGACUGCGGGUUGCGGCUGUGUGCGCAGACAGCGCAGCGCUGAGGAAGCCUGCACGCACGGCAGAUGGCCGGCUCAGCUUGCGACAGAUGACCAGGCAAAUGAAGGAAAGCAGAAAUUCUGAGGCCAAAGGGAUGAUAUCAGAAGACUGGCAAGGGACUGGACACAGUGCUCCAGAUGGGCUCUCACUUGAGUGGAAAAAAUCAUCUCCCUCAACCUGCUGACAACACUCUUCCCAAUGCAGCCCAGGAUAUUGUUGACCUUCGACGUGACAAGAACCUGUUGGUAGCUCACAUUAAACUUGGUGUCCACAAGGACAACAAGGUUCUUCUCAGCAAAAUUUCUUCCAGUCGCUCAGUCCCCUGUGGAUACUGGCAUGUGAGGCUAUUCCUUCCCAGGUUCCACAAUUCCAUUUGUUAAACUUCGUGAAGCUUUCUGAAACUUUCUCCAGCCUGCCAAAGUCCUUCUCCUGGUGUGGCAGCCACUCCUCCCAGUAUUGUGCUUUCUCUGCAGGUUUGCUGGUGAUAGAUACUCUGUCCAGUGUCUGUGUCAGUAGUGAAGUUAAGCAGUUAUAGGGUCAAUAUCAAUAUCUGGAUAUACUACCAAGAACUGGUUAGCCACUGGAUUUUGUACCACUAGUCACAAAAUCCCUGAGCCCAGCAGUUCAGCCAGUGUUCAGUCCACAUCAGAGAGUUUACUCCACUUACACUUCAUGGGUUUAUACAUGAGGAAGGCAUGGGACACAAUACAGAAAACCUAUUAAAAGCUGAGAUAAGUAACAGUGCUCUCCCCAAAUCCCCCAAGCCAUUCAUCCCACUGCAGAAAGCUGCCAUGUUGGUUAAGCACUGCUUUCACUUUGUGAAUCCGUGCUUACUACUAUCACUUUCUUCAAAGAAAGCUUAGAUGUGCUGUAGAGAAAAUGAAUGAGUUCUCUGUAGUACGUUUCAGCUCUGUGGUACGUCCCAGAGCUGAUUUUCUUCACAGUUGCUGGUAUAAUGCUGUGUUUUGGCAUUAAGAGAAAAACUAUGUUGACAACACACCGAUGUUUUGGUUGUUACUGCAUAGUGCCGUACAGAGCCAAGCACAUUUUAGUUUCUCCACUUCUUCUACUGUCCUGGCAGCGAGGGAUCUGGUAGGGCACAAGGAGUGGAGGGGGGACAGAACCAGGACAGCUGACCUAAACUGCCCAAAGGGGCACUCCAUGCAUAUGGCAUCAUGUGAAAACUAUAUAACUGAGGGGAGCAGCCACCGCUCAGGGCCUGGCUGAGCAUCAGUUAGCGGGUGC
Molecule: long non-coding RNA, 1336 nt
Organism: Lagopus leucura (white-tailed ptarmigan)
Lineage: Eukaryota; Metazoa; Chordata; Aves; Galliformes; Phasianidae
Exons: 3
Source: RefSeq, a predicted model, not a curated record